GUACGUUCAUCAGACACCACAAAAGGUGUUGAUUCAUCUUGACAGUUGGACAGUGGCCAUGGAAGUCGGAAUCUGCUAAGGAGUGUGUAACAACUCACCAACCGAAUGAAUUAGCCCUGAAAAUGGAUGGCGCUUAAACGUAUUACUUAUACUUUACCAUUAAAGUAAAUGCUAAACUUUAAUGAGUAGGAGGGCGUAUGGAUAAUUUAGAAGACUGAUAGUGAUAUUAGUUGGAAUUAUCUUUAGUGCAGAUCUUGGUGGUAGUAGCAAAUAUUCAAUAGAGAACAUUGAAGACUGAAGUGGAGAAAAGGUUUCACAUGAACAACACUUGGAUGUGAGUUAGUCGAUCCUAAACGGUGGGUUAACUCCAAAUACAUAGAUACUUGUAUCUUGUACCGUGAAAGGGAAACAGGUUAAUAUUCCUGUACUAUAUCAAGGAGGU
This 442-nucleotide ribosomal RNA is filed under the name uncultured eukaryote. RNAcentral's name for it is "eukaryotic LSU rRNA". It matches the Rfam family "Eukaryotic large subunit ribosomal RNA", at positions 1195 to 1638 of the family's 3401-position model. The record is from RNAcentral.